Molecule: ribosomal RNA, 435 nt
Filed under: Phanotea sathegyna
Lineage: Eukaryota; Metazoa; Arthropoda; Arachnida; Araneae; Zoropsidae
Description: partial 16S ribosomal RNA
Source: RNAcentral
UUCUAUUAGAAUUAAAUAAUAGUAUAAUCUGCUCAAUGAAACCUAAAUAGCCGCAAUACUGUGCUAAGGUAGCAUAAUCAUUUGUCUUUUAAUUAAAGACUAGAACAAAGGAUUAAACAUUUAAAUAUAUUUCUCAAUUUAACAUUAAUUUAAAUCUAUUUUUAAUGUUAAAAAACAUUAAUUCAUUAGAUAGACAAUAAGACCCUAUUAAACUUUACUUCAGUUCAACUGGGGAAGUAAAGUAAAUAAUAUUUUAACAUUAUUUUUUUAAAUAACCUAAUAUAAUUAAUUAUAUUAAGUUACUAUAGGGAUAACAGAAUAAUUUCUUCUAAAAGAUCAUAUAUCAGAAGAUGAUUAUGACCUCGAUGUUGAAUAAUUCAACACAUUAACGCAAUAGAUAACAAUGUAAGUCUGUUCGACUUUUAAAUCAUUACG